RNAcentral lists this ribosomal RNA (252 nucleotides) under uncultured bacterium. Its description in RNAcentral is "partial small subunit ribosomal RNA". It matches the Rfam family "Bacterial small subunit ribosomal RNA", at positions 26 to 285 of the family's 1533-position model. The record is from RNAcentral.
AGGACGAACGCUGGCGGCGUGCUUAACACAUGCAAGUCGAGCGGAAAGGCCCUUCGGGGUACUCGAGCGGCGAACGGGUGAGUAACACGUGAGUAAUCUGCCCCUAACUCUGGGAUAGCUCCGGGAAACCGGGAUUAAUACCGGAUAUGACCACUUUAGACAUCUGUUGUGGUGGAAAGAAUUUCGGCUAGGGAUGAGCUCGCGGCCUAUCAGCUUGUUGGUGGGUAACGGCCUACAAGGCGACGACGGGUA